This 71-nucleotide transfer RNA is filed under the name Dipodomys ordii (Ord's kangaroo rat). It matches the Rfam family "tRNA". Rfam says of the family: Transfer RNA (tRNA) molecules are approximately 80 nucleotides in length. Their secondary structure includes four short double-helical elements and three loops (D, anti-codon, and T loops). The record is from Rfam by way of RNAcentral. Lineage: Eukaryota; Metazoa; Chordata; Mammalia; Rodentia; Heteromyidae.
GGGAAGGUGGCUCAGUGGUAGAGCGCUUGCCUUGUGUGCGUGAGGCCCUGGGUUCGAUUCCUCAGCACCCU